This 163-nucleotide microRNA precursor is filed under the name Oryza brachyantha (malo sina). RNAcentral's name for it is "MIR812 microRNA precursor family". It matches the Rfam family "MIR812 microRNA precursor family", at positions 27 to 187 of the family's 205-position model. Lineage: Eukaryota; Viridiplantae; Streptophyta; Magnoliopsida; Poales; Poaceae. The record is from Rfam by way of RNAcentral.
UACAAUAUUUUAACUCUUCGUUUUAUUUAAAAAAUUUUGUGAUUAAUAUUUUUAUUAUUACUAGAUGAUAAAACAUGAAUAGUACUUUAUGCGUGACUAAUUUUUUUAAGUUUUUGUAUAAAUUUGUUAAAUAAGGCGAAUAGUCAAACGUUGGACACGGAAA